Molecule: long non-coding RNA, 1472 nt
Organism: Aphis gossypii (cotton aphid)
Lineage: Eukaryota; Metazoa; Arthropoda; Insecta; Hemiptera; Aphididae
Exons: 2
Source: RefSeq, a predicted model, not a curated record
AAGGACGUGACACGAAGAAUAGCGAUUAAGACUAAGACAGACGGCCGUCGUAAAAAAAAAAACACAAAAUUAGUUUUCACAAGUUUUCUGUUGGCAAGAUGAAGACGUAUGGCGGCCGUCCGGCGUACGGCGGCGGUCCAGUGGACAUUACACACAUGGAGGUGAAAAAAGCUCACCGCCACGCUCAACGAUGGAAAAUACAAACAGCUGUACGGAUGACAAUAACCCACGACGGCGAUGGCAGUGCACUGGUGUGCAUUCCGUAUCGAACAUUUUGCAUAGUUACCACGUAGUAUAGAAAAAGUAGCAAGCAGAUUUAAUGAAAAAAGUUAUUCGAAUUAAAUUAUUUUAUCAGUCUUCUUCAAUUCUUCUUUACAAGCAUCCUCAAUUUUUUCAUAGUUUUUACCUUUCAUACAUUUUAAUGCUAAUUCCAAAUCAAUACUAAAUAAGUUCAAAUAAUAAGUUUAAAUAUGUGUCAAUAAUUAUUAAUAACAAACAUAAUCAGUGGGAUUAUAUUUUGUGAUGUAUGUUAAAAGUGUAGACAAUAUUGUGAAUAGACCAACCAGCUUGUGAGCUUUCACUGUCGGCUCGUCAUGUAGCUGGAUCUUAUUAUUCGAUUUUCGUGUACAAAAAAUGACCCAUACCCAAGUCCAUCGCAAGACACGGUUCGUCGAUGAACAACUAAAUAACUAAAUUUCAAGUUGGAUAUGCAACCGAACAACAAUUUUGAAGAAUCAGACAUGGCUUUAUUGAUGCAGCUACAGCGAAGAAACAGAAGAACGGAAUUUAUUGUGAAAUAAUAUGUGAAAAUAUCUCGAAGGCAUUUUAUUGCUCUGUUUCAUUAUUUUUAUUCUUUUUCUUCGUCAAUUCAUUACAUAUCUCCUCGACGUGUUUAUAUUUUUUUUGUUGGAGGCAUGUAAAAGAUUUUGCAAAACCAGUUCUUGCUAAGUUCGACAAAAAACAAACAUUAAAAAUUAUGUUGCAAGUUAUAACACAUUUUAUUAUAAAGGUAAUACAAUGUGUAUAUUAUAUAAAUAUAUUAUAAUUAUUAUUCAAAGAUAAUUAUGCUAUAUUAUAUUAAUAUAACUUUUUUUUAAAUAAUAAAAAGGCUGAAUCGAGUAAGAAUAAUUUAAAAUAAACUCACUUUACUUCCGAUUCCAUUAAUGAUUCUGUAAAAUUGUUAUUGUAUGGAUCUUCUAUGAAUGAAUUUAAGUAAUUAAGUAUUUUAUUAUAGAAUAAAGAUUUUACAAGAAUUAGAAAAAAGAGUCUAGUUGAGUAAUUAAGUUAUAGAUAAAAAACUAAAUAAAUAUACCACAUAAAAAUAUGUUUGAAUUGUUCGUAACUAUUCCAAAUUCUUCUAGUAACUUUUUGGAUGAUGGUAUAAUGUCAUAUUAUUUUAUCCCCAUGAUUUUUAUUAUUGUACUAAAAAUAAUUUAAGAAAUUAUAUGAAAUAAAUGUUUACUUAUUAAUAA